ACUUGAUGGUGUGGGCAUUUAUGAAGAAGGUCCAUAAAACGCUCCCAGGUCUCAAAAAAAAUUUCCCUAUCCAUUUGUGCAAAACUUGUGAUUUACCUUCGCAGCUC
Small nucleolar RNA from Malania oleifera, 107 nucleotides. NCBI's taxonomy places the organism in Eukaryota, Viridiplantae, Streptophyta, Magnoliopsida, Santalales, Ximeniaceae. The record is from RefSeq and is a predicted model, not a curated record.